This 497-nucleotide ribosomal RNA is filed under the name uncultured bacterium. RNAcentral's name for it is "partial 16S ribosomal RNA". It matches the Rfam family "Bacterial small subunit ribosomal RNA", at positions 28 to 507 of the family's 1533-position model. The record is from RNAcentral.
GAUGAACGCUGGCGGCGUGCCUAAUACAUGCAAGUCGAGCGAACGGACGAGAAGCUUGCUUCUCUGAUGUUAGCGGCGGACGGGUGAGUAACACGUGGAUAACCUACCUAUAAGACUGGGAUAACUUCGGGAAACCGGAGCUAAUACCGGAUAAUAUUUUGAACCGCAUGGUUCAAAAGUGAAAGACGGUCUUGCUGCCACUUAUAGAUGGAUCCGCGCUGCAUUAGCUAGUUGGUAAGGUAACGGCUUACCAAGGCAACGAUGCAUAGCCGACCUGAGAGGAUGAUCGGCCACACUGGAACUGAGACACGGUCCAGACUCCUACGGGAGGCAGCAGUAGGGAAUCUUCCGCAAUGGGCGAAAGCCUGACGGAGCAACGCCGCGUGAGUGAUGAAGGUCUUCGGAUCGUAAAACUCUGUUAUUAGGGAAGAACAUAUGUGUAAGUAACUGUGCACAUCUUGACGGUACCUAAUCAGAAAGCCACGGCUAACUACGUG